CCAGAUCCAAAUCAUGCAGGAAUAGGCACCCGGCGGUUACCAGGCAUCGGUGAGUCCCCUCCAUCUCCUUCCUCCCCUACUCCCCGCCCAUCUGUUCUCGGCGAUCGACAGCGACCGUUCCCUGCGCGACCAGCAGCCCACCCCUGCGCGUCUGUCCCGUGCCCCGGCGCGGCGUCCCUGCAGCCCCAGCGCGGCGCAGCCAGCCAUGCUCGCGCCCCAGCCCCUGCUCCCUCAGCGCGUCCAACCUCCCUGCCUUGCCCCUUCCGCGAGCUCGGCGCAGCCAGCCAGCGGCUCGCCCAGCGCGGCAGCGAGCUCGCGCAGCAGCGAGCGCGUGGCCCGGCGGCCUGCGACGCGUUGCCAGCGCGCGACUGUCGCGGACAGCCCCGGCGGCCAGUGCCCCGACGAACUCCACUCCCGGCCGUCUGAGCCCCGCCGCUGCCCAGCCCUAGCGCGCGGCCUGGAGUCCCUGGGCGCUGCCGAACUCGCCCCUGCCCAGGUGUUUUUGGGGCGCGGAGCCCGCUCGAGCGCCCCCUCCCUGCGCGAGCUCGCUUCUCCUCCAUAGCAAUGGCCGAUCCCCUCUCCUCCCCCAUGGUCGUUCUCUGUUUUUUUCCCAAGGAAGAAGAAAACCACCGCACCGUGCCACCAGGAAAAGGAAACGGCCCUUAGGGCCCACCUUGUAUGCGAUUUACUGCCCACGUUUUUUCCUUGCCGUGGGUUUGGAAAAAAGACCAACUGGGCCCCACUACAUGCACCGCAUGCCAGGACAUUGCAUGCUGCACGAUUGUACCAUCCCAUGGAUUUUCUGCGGCCGUGAUCUCUAUGAUCCUCCGCGUGGCAACCUAUCGACCAAUCAAAUUGCACCACAUUAUUUUUAAUCCACGACUUAUUAAAUAUGCGUUAUCUUUUCACGUCCAAUUUAUUCCAUUCCAGUCGUGUUAUUUUCCCAAUAAAGUCGUGUACACGUUAAGAAUAUAAUUUUGGUCGUAGCGCAUGUUUCAGUUAAUUAAUUAUUUAAUGGUUGGUCUGAUGGUUAUUAAAAUAGCAAUUUAAUUUAUAGUUUUAAGUUGCACUUUUAUAAAUAUAUGUUAACGUCAUUAAUACCAACUUAAACACUUUUCAUUUAAUACUUAUUUAUUAUAAACACGUUAUUUGUUAGCGAUUAUCGCGUUGUCGCGCGUCGUUCGCGCGUGCUGUUCCGCGUGCGGUAUCGUGCUGGUUCGCGCGUAAUUCGCUCUAGUUGCUCAUACUGUCUGGUGCGCUGUUUCGCGCGCGUCGUUUGGGCGAGUCGUUCGCGCGCUGUUCGCGUGGCACGUUUAAGUCAGCGCGUGCCGUUCGCACGCAUCGUGCGUGUCGUUCACACGUGUCGACGUGCGCUGUCGCGUACGCCGUUCCGCGCACCUUGUUUAGUGUGUUGCGUGUCAUGUCGCGCGACAAUAAACUAUUUCGUCUAGAAUCGUUCACGUUAAUUAAUCUACGUAAUUAAACGAUGAUUAACUGAGUAGUAAAUCAAUCAGAACUAAGUGUUAAUUCUAUCGGUGCAUGCGAUGAAUACCUCUAAUUGUGGUUAUGUCAACUUAAGUGUUGCAUUUAAUUUAUGUGUAGAAUAAAUACGACACGGUUUAGUAGUAGUUCGCGCGUCGCGCCGUUUUCGCGGGUCGCGUGCUGUUUGCGUGACGCGCACGCUGUCCCCACAUGUGGCGCUCGUUAUUGUCGGGUCGUAUGUUUUAGUUGUAUAAUUAAUUAUUGGUUUAUUCUAGGGUUAAUAAAAUAACAAUUUAUUUAGAACGAGUAUAUAGUUUUAACUCGUGCUUUUAUAACUAUAAAUAUUAGUUAACUUGAUUAACACCAGCUUAAAUGCUUUUAACUAAUUAUUUAUUUGUUCGUUGUUGGCGCACGACAUCGUUUGCGCGUCAUCGUGCUAUUUACGCGCAUAGUCGCGUUGACUCGUGCGUGUCGCGCACGGUCGUGCGCGUUGUUUUGCGGAUGUCGCGCGUGCCAUUCACACGCGUUGCCGCACGCCGUGCGCGUGCCGCAAUGUUGUUUCGUGUGUCGUGUGGCGUCUACGUGUGAUAAUAAAUUAUUUUCGCUUAUAAACACUCAUGUUAUAAGAUUAAUUCGUCAGGUCAUAUAUUUUAGAUAAUCAACCUAAGGUUUGCUCGACUAAUAUUUAUUAGAUUAAUAUCUCAGUUAGAUUAAAUAUGUAAUGUUCAAUUUGCGCUUUUAUAAUAAAUAUUAACAUGGUAAAUAUUAACUUAACUACUUUCUAUUUAUUUAAUAUUUGUUUAGUAUAAACGUGUCACUUAUUUAGUUUUCCUCGUCUGUCGCGCGUGCUGUUCCGCACGUGAUGGCGUGCUCGUUCGCGCUGUUUCGUGUGUCGUCAGCGUGCGAUGUCGCGCCUGUCCGCGCGUCGUUCGCACGUUGUCAUGCUGUUUCGUGCAUCGUCAAUUCGCAUCGCUGAGAAUCUCUUGUGUUAAUUAAAUUACUUAUUUAUUUGACAGCUGUUAGCGUAACAGAUUUAAUCAGAACUAAAUAGCAGUUAUAAUUUAUAUUUGAUAAUAUCGAAUUAAAUGUUUUACUUAAUGUUUAUUUAGCGUAAACGCGAUAUCUUCCAGAUCGACGCUUCGAGUUCGACACUUCUUUUUCCUCGCGUGACUGUAGUAACGCGCUCUAUUUCGUUUUGCAUGUUUUAUUAUGUUUGUAUUUGUAUGAUGUAAUGUUCUUAUGCAUAUAUGUGUUUGCUUGCUUGUGUCUGUUCGUCUUCGCUCCGCGUUGCGAUUAGAAUGUGAUCCAUCUCCAAGUUUCGAGGGAUCGAAGAUCAAGCUUCGACGACCAAGUGAUCUGGCUCUUCGAGUUCCACGAAGUUGAAGACCCUGAACAUCUGUUUGGCGAAGGCAAGUGUCCUCUGACCCAUUAUGUCCCAUUUACUUUAUAAUACACUGUCCCGCAUACUAUGAACAACCUAAGGAUUUACUAGCUUUCUAUUUACCUUGUCCUUGAUUUACCUUUUGGGUUACUAUGGUUAGCUUCAUGCUAGCGCUUUAUUUUAAUCAAUGAACAUGAUGAGAUACAAUGAUGAUACUAUGAUUUUACUCUGGAUAUGAUGAUAUACUUGUGGCAUUUAGGGGACUCGAGCGGUUUCUCGAGUGCCUCUCCGUAAGGACCUGUUCGUUGGAUGACCGCCCGGGAAAACAGUGCAACCAUGAGGGUGAAAUGGGGGGCCCUUAGCUAAUUAAUUAGAGGAACUAGAGGUGUAGUUGCUUCGCCGUCGUGCCAUCAAUGGGGUCCAGGCACAGUGCUUGCUCUGCCGAGGCUAGGUGCCGAGGUUCUUUCGUUUUGCUUUUGUUAGUCACCCCCCUUCGGGGAGAGGUACUGUGUUUAUCAAACUGGAGAAACCUAACGGGCGGCUAGUACCUCUAGGGAAUCUUUGUAAAAGCUACGUAGUGAUACCCUGCCGGACCACCUAGGAAGUGAUCAAUGGGGAGUCAUGAUCCCCGGGCAAAACGGGAAUCACGACUCAUGGGUAAAGUGUGCGACCUCUGUAGAGGGUAAUGAAACUGAUAUAUCAGCCAUGCUCGCGGUUAAGAGCAGCCUUGGGAUCCUCUUUGAUUAGAGAUACUCCGGACGCACCUCAGAUGAUGACUUUAAUGAUGAUGGUUAAUGAUGGUGACUUUAAUUAUGUAUUCUAGUAUUUCCUCUCUAAGGAGGUACCUUUUGGGAUUAUAACUUGGGUUUUAUGAUAAAAUCUGGCUUCUACUAACAAUAAAUAUCUGACCAACUAAAAGCAACUGCUUGAGCCUAACCCCACAUAAAAGCUAGUCCACUUCAGCCAAACGGGGCAUUUGCUGAGUACGUUGAUGUGUACUCAUCCUUGCUUUACCACAAAACACCAGGUUGUCCACAUUGCAACCACUGCUCAGGAGAAGAUGAAGCCUACUCAGGAGUUCCAAGACUACGACGAGUUCUAGGUGUGGGUUGGCGGAAACCCCCAGUCAGCUGCCUGUGAAGGCCCUAUCUUUACUGCGUUCCGCUUAGCACUUUGAUUUACCCGUUGAGUUGAUGACUAUGUGGAUGUCUUUGACAUCGUGAUGUAAUAAGUUAAUACUCUUUUAUGUUAUUAUUCGAGCACUAUGCGAUGAUGUUCAUUUAUGUAAUCGCUGUGUACGUGAGUUCUGAUCCUGGCACGUACAUAGUUCGCAUUCGGUUUGCCUUCUGAAACCGGGUGUGACACCACGGGAUUUCCACCUCUCUCACGCCCAUCUCCGGCCACCUCUAUUCCCCCCUUCGCGCUCGGCCUCGCGCCGACCCAUCUGGGCUGGGGCACGCGGCGACAUUUCACUCAUCGGCUUAGGGACCCCCCGGUCUCGAAACGCCGACAGUUGGCGCGCCAGGUAGGGGCCUGUUGCGUGUUGAUGAACAGCUUCCCGUCAAGCUCCAGAUGGGCAGUCUCCAGCAACCUCUCCGAC
Molecule: long non-coding RNA, 4463 nt
Filed under: Zea mays
Lineage: Eukaryota; Viridiplantae; Streptophyta; Magnoliopsida; Poales; Poaceae
Description: long non-coding RNA (ZMAY_LNC003582)
Source: RNAcentral